GCCAGACUCCUACGGGAGGCAGCAGUGGGGAAUAUUGCACAAUGGGGGAAACCCUGAUGCAGCGACGCCGCGUGAGUGAAGAAGUAUUUCGGUAUGUAAAGCUCUAUCAGCAGGGAAGAAGAAGGACGGUACCUGAGUAAGAAGCCCCGGCUAACUACGUGCCAGCAGCCGCGGUAAUACGUAGGGGGCAAGCGUUAUCCGGAUUUACUGGGUGUAAAGGGAGCGUAGACGGCGAUACAAGUCUGAAGUGAAAGCCCGGGGCUCAACCCCGGGACUGCUUUGGAAACUGUGUUGCUGGAGUGCUGGAGAGGCAAGCGGAAUUCCUAGUGUAGCGGUGAAAUGCGUAGAUAUUAGGAAGAACACCAGUGGCGAAGGCGGCUUGCUGGACAGUAACUGACGUUGAGGCUCGAAAGCGUGGGUAGCGAACGGGAUUAGAUACCCUUGUA
This 446-nucleotide ribosomal RNA is filed under the name uncultured bacterium. RNAcentral's name for it is "bacterial SSU rRNA". It matches the Rfam family "Bacterial small subunit ribosomal RNA", at positions 330 to 792 of the family's 1533-position model. The record is from RNAcentral.